RNAcentral lists this transfer RNA (65 nucleotides) under Pteromalus puparum. RNAcentral describes it as "tRNA-Glu". Lineage: Eukaryota; Metazoa; Arthropoda; Insecta; Hymenoptera; Pteromalidae. The record is from RNAcentral.
AUUUAUAUAGUUUAAAAAAAACAUUAUAUUUUCAAUAUAAAAAUAAAUAAAUUAUUUUAUAAAUU